RNAcentral lists this ribosomal RNA (483 nucleotides) under uncultured bacterium. Its description in RNAcentral is "partial 16S ribosomal RNA". It matches the Rfam family "Bacterial small subunit ribosomal RNA", at positions 28 to 523 of the family's 1533-position model. The record is from RNAcentral.
GACGAACGCUGGCGGCGUGCUUAACACAUGCAAGUCGAACGAUGAAGCCGGAGCUUGCUCCGGUGGAUUAGUGGCGAACGGGUGAGUAACACGUGAGCAAUCUGCCCUUGACUCUGGGAUAACUGCGGGAAACUGUAGCUAAUACCGGAUACGACACCUUGGGGCAUCCCAGGGGGUGGAAAGAAUAGCGGUCAAGGAUGAGCUCGCGGCCUAUCAGCUAGUUGGUGAGGUAAUGGCUCACCAAGGCGACGACGGGUAGCCGGCCUGAGAAGGUGACCGGCCAAACUGGAACUGAGACACGGUCCAGACUCCUACGGGGGGCAGCAGUGGGGAAUAUUGCACAAUGGGCGAAAGCCUGAUGCAGCAACGCCGCGUGAGGGAUGAAGGCCUUCGGGUUGUAAACCUCUUUUAGCAGGGAAGAAGCGAAAGUGACGGUACCUGCAGAAAAAGCACCGGCUAACUACGUGCCAGCCGCCGCAGUAA